CGGGAACACAAGCGGAGCCCCGAGUGUGCACCGCUGCGGGUAUCUGCCAGCACGUUUGCACGUUUGCACAUUGCAGUUCCUGUGUCCCCCCUCCUGUUCCCCGGCCUCUGGAUCGGCGUGCGCCCCGGCGGAGCCGCCCGGGUGCCUAAGGAAGCGCUUGGCUAGCUCGUGCCCACUCGCGACGCGCGGGGCCGAGCGGGGCCACGCGGCGCAUCCGCGCAGCCAGUGCCUGUGAAGUUAAAACAGCCCGAACUCUUAGUGCCCGAGAGUGGAUUGCAUGCCAAUUCUCCAAGGCAAGAUCCCUAAAUACAUAUAUUUACAGUAACUCAUGGUCUGGUCGCAAGGAACACGUUGUUUAUUCACUGAAACAGCACGAGUUCAGUGUCCUUACGCUACAGGAUACAGGAUAGGAAGGUUCCCUAGCGGCGUCCCUGUAAUGAAUGAUCCAAGAGUAACACCACCACAACCUGCGAGGAAGGCACAGUGGUUUCGGCACAGAGGUUUGUGCCCGUCCCUUCAGUCCGGGAAUUCCGAAGCGCCGGUGUCCACCGGCGUGACCGUGGAUCGGGGCGUGCUCCUGCGAGUCCGGCGAGUUCGUGUCCACCGCCUGGCCGCCCGCCCCAGAAACCUGGCUCCGGGAGAUGGGUCCUGCCUUCCAGUGGGCAGAAGGAAAGGAUGCCAGCAAAAAUGGCUAAUCCUCUUCCAGCUGCAGUAAAUUGACGACUGGCCAAAGCCAAGCGAAACCCGCUGCAGUUAAAAAGAUUUUAGCUUCACGUCUGGGGCUGAGAAUGGAGCGGCAGUAUAUAAAACGACCUGUGGAUCAAUGGAAAGGAGAUCGUAGUGUCUCCGAAUAUUAAUACGGAGCAUAAGGAAGGAAGGACAGAAACUCCAACAGACCAAGUUCCUGAACAGUGUCCUGAGCUCCAGGCAGGGCUCUUUUUGGUUAGGAAAAGAGAAGACUCACUGAGCUCCUAGAGAAAUGAAGAGCUGGGUGUUGGCCUGGUCAGGGCUUCAGUGUCAAAUAUCUUCCUGUUGGAAGAUAGGAAACAGGAAGCAACCUGUUGGAAAGAUCGACCUGGGAUUUGUAGUGUCAUCAGCCACCUGGUUCCACACUACAAAGAUGCAGAGGACACCGGACCACCAGACCACUGUACUGGGUAAGUUGGAGUCAUCAUCACCUCCCAUCAAGACCGGGACUAUCUUCAGGGGAAGGGCAACUGGAACCUGCAAUACAACUCUGGGAGUUCAACCCUACAGGAGGACAGGGAACUCAACUUGGGACUUGCAGCCAGAAAUCUGCCUGAAUUUCACGGGUGUGAGACUAGCUUGUUGAGACUCAUUGACUUAUAUCUGCACACUGCUACCCACGUUGUUUAUUGUGACAGCAGAGACAUACCCUGAAAGAGGCCCUUCAUCUUCAUUGUUAUUUUUUAUUCCCAAAAUUAGUGUUAUUAGUUUUCUUUUCUCUUUUCUUUUCUUUUGAUCCUCUUAUCUUUUUUCCUACUCUUUGCAAAUAUUUGUUUUUCUCUCCAUUUUUUCUUUUCUUUUCUUCUUUCUUUUCUCUUUCCUUUAUCUCUCUCUUACACUCACUCUCUUGCUCUCCCACAUUGUUCAUCUUCCCUUUUUGUCCCUGUUUUGGUCCUUGUUUGGAGUUCUUCUUUAUUUUCCUAUUAGUAUCUUUUUCCUUCUCACCUGUGUCCUCUGGCCACACUGCUAACCUUCCCCUAUCCUUCUUCCCAUCUGUCAAUCCCUCCCCAACCCCUUCUAACUCCCCAUCCCAAAUGGUAAAGUUGUUAUAUUGAGGAGUUUAUUCACUAUAUGUUUGGUUGGUCCUCGACCUUGAUUUAAUUCACACAGCUAAAGGUGAUAGAUUAUUAACUACCACAAAAUGUCAUUUUCAAAGAUGUACUUGAUGCUAUGGUGUUGGUGAUUGUAUCACUUGGGCUAGGGUGUUGUUAUUGAUCUAGUCAAUGAACCUUCCUAGUAUAAGGAAAAUGAGAUAGCCUUAGAGUCAUUAGAGGCUCAAAACUUAAAGACCAGCUAUAUUGGGAAGACACCUCUGAGAAGCAAUCAUUCCAUAAGGGUUCUAAUUACAAGCAACAAAGAUACCUACAAUAAGCAAUUUCAAACUGUCAACCCAGGAAUUAAACCAAGGACAGUAUUAAAAACAAAAAUGAGAAGACAUUUAAGCAAGGCACAAACUCAGACUUCCACCCCACCAAGGGUAAAUCCUGGGGGAAAUGAGAUGGAAAAGUGCCAUAACCAACCACCUGGAUACCCUGAACUGAUAGCAUAGGGAGUAACAAAACAGAUGAAUGAGGCUAUAGAAAAAUUCAAAGCAGAAAUAAUCUCCCAGAUAUCUACAGAGAUGGUGAGCAGAGUGAAAGACAUGAUUAGAGGAUCUAGAACAGAAACAGAUAAAAAAAUAGAUGAGCUCAGAAAUAUGCUGGAAUCCAUGAAUACCCAGCACAAGAAAGAAAUGGAAACCAUGAUCACCCAGCAUAAGAAAGAAAUGGAAUCCAUGAAACAGAUUCAAACAGAUAUUCAGGAGAUCAAAAACUCCAUUGAAAGUAUCCACAGCAGAUUAAGGGAAUCUGAAGAUAGAAUAUCAGAUAUAGAAGACAGAAUCGUGG
Molecule: long non-coding RNA, 2633 nt
Organism: Heterocephalus glaber (naked mole-rat)
Lineage: Eukaryota; Metazoa; Chordata; Mammalia; Rodentia; Bathyergidae
Source: Ensembl